UAAGGAAUCUUCCACAAUGGACGAAAGUCUGAUGGAGCAACGCCGCGUGCAGGAAGACGGCUUUCGGGUUGUAAACUGCUUUUAUACGGGAAGAUUAUGACGGUACCGUAUGAAUAAGGAUCGGCUAACUACGUGCCAGCAGCCGCGGUAAUACGUAGGAUCCAAGCGUUAUCCGGAUUUACUGGGCGUAAAGCGUACGUAGGCGGCGCGUUAAGUGCAAUGCGAAAUCCAGCGGCUCAACCGUUUGGACUGUGUUGCAUACUGGCGUGCUUGAGGAUGGCAGAGGCAAGUGGAAUUACUGGUGUAGCAGUGAAAUGCGUAGAUAUCAGUAGGAACACCAAUGGCGAAGGCAGCUUGCUGGGCCACACCUGACGCUGAGGUACGAAAGCGUGGGGAGCGAACCGG
RNAcentral lists this ribosomal RNA (405 nucleotides) under uncultured bacterium. Its description in RNAcentral is "bacterial SSU rRNA". It matches the Rfam family "Bacterial small subunit ribosomal RNA", at positions 355 to 776 of the family's 1533-position model. The record is from RNAcentral.